UGAGAUAUCAAAUGUCAAGAGAAUGAUUGUACCUUCCUGAUGCAACAGAACCACUGUAACCAGCCGAGAACGAUCAACGCCAGGAAUGCACCCAUAUCUCUACAAUGAUGGAAGACCUCUAGAGUUAAUAUUUCACGAAGAGAUUUGGAUUUAGAUCUCUUCUAAAUCAGCAAAUCUGACACCCGACUGAUUAAAUUAGGUCAACAUAUCAAUAUGUCUAACCAUCCU
This 228-nucleotide long non-coding RNA is filed under the name Elaeis guineensis (African oil palm). RNAcentral's name for it is "long non-coding RNA (EGUI_LNC059387)". Lineage: Eukaryota; Viridiplantae; Streptophyta; Magnoliopsida; Arecales; Arecaceae. The record is from RNAcentral.